RNAcentral lists this ribosomal RNA (253 nucleotides) under uncultured bacterium. RNAcentral describes it as "partial 16S ribosomal RNA". It matches the Rfam family "Bacterial small subunit ribosomal RNA", at positions 524 to 776 of the family's 1533-position model. The record is from RNAcentral.
UACAGAGGGGGCGAGCGUUGUUCGGAAUUACUGGGCGUAAAGGGCGCGUAGGCGGCCUUCUAAGUCGAACGUGAAAUCCCCGGGCUCAACCCGGGAACUGCGUCCGAUACUGGGAGGCUUGAAUCCGGGAGAGGGAUGUGGAAUUCCAGGUGUAGCGGUGAAAUGCGUAGAUAUCGGGAGGAACACCUGUGGCGAAAGCGGCGCACUGGACCACAUCUGACGCUGAGGCGCGAAAGCGUGGGGAGCAAACAGG